RNAcentral lists this unclassified non-coding RNA (651 nucleotides) under Bombus terrestris (buff-tailed bumblebee). RNAcentral's name for it is "misc RNA ENSBTSG00005038178.1". Lineage: Eukaryota; Metazoa; Arthropoda; Insecta; Hymenoptera; Apidae. The record is from RNAcentral.
CGAUCCGAUCGUAACGUGGUUCCAGGAUUUUGGAAAUGGUCCAAACUUCCGAGUGGAGCCUGUAGAAUUUUAAUUACGCCGGUGGCCAGGACCAGACAACAAAAGGCAGCCGCGUAUUUGGUACACAAGCAAGCCCGAUCAAUUUAUUCAAACAAGAUUUCAUUGAAGCUGUAACGUUUCCUAAUAGAGUCAAACUUCUGAUGGGUGAAUCUAAUUAUCUGAACCUAUACUUCUAUUAUGAAUUGUAUUAUGAAUUGUAAGUAGUGGAGAGUAGUAUUAUGAAUUUUCGCACACAGUGAGAGCCAACAACAUAUAUAUGCAGAGUAGAAGCUCCAUUAUCUGAACGUUCCACUAUUUGGACACUUGUCACGUGUAAAGAACUUAAUCCUCUGCAAGAAUGUUUGUUAACAGUCAACGAAGAUAAAGCUUCAGGAACAAUUAAGAGGAUUAGCUGUUAUACUGCUGUUAUAUGUGUUAAAUGUGAUACUAGAAAGAUUGAGGACACCAUUUUUAUUAUAUUACUACAGAUUCAGAAGAAACUCCUUUUCCAUAGAAUACCAGAAUCCUAUGAUCCUGAUAACGUCGACGCUAUAGAACGCUUUUAAUGUGAUGAAUCUUCUUCAGUGGACGUCUUCUUCAGAUGAUGUUAAU